AUUUUUCUUCAAAGCCACAUCCUCUCUCUAGAAAGUUUCUUCUUCUUCCUCUGACUUCUUUCUAGAUUUCCAGCACCUUGAACCAUAUGAAUUCAAUUCUGGUGCUACCAAGGCGUUCGUGGAGUAGAGGGCUUCAUUUCAACCGAACGUUUUCGUCGUUCCGAUCGGGGUAGCGUGAGUUCUUGGCUGUAGGAUAGUUGUGCUUGGAGAAAACCAGAUGUUGUCGAGGAGGUUCCCUUGAAGCAAGAGUUGGAAGAGGCUGAUGCUGCAGUAUAGUCUUUUUAGGAUUUCUAAAUUUACGUUGGUGUUAUUUUGUAAUACUCUAAACUGUUAAAGUUUUAAGUUCUCUCCUUUACGUGGAUGACUGUACUGUCAACUACGGACAUACUAUUCUA
This 395-nucleotide small RNA is filed under the name Vigna angularis var. angularis. RNAcentral's name for it is "Non-protein coding transcript". The record is from RNAcentral. Lineage: Eukaryota; Viridiplantae; Streptophyta; Magnoliopsida; Fabales; Fabaceae.